UUCAUAACUUUGUUUCAGCUUCUGUGGAGCCAGCUCUUCUGUACAGAACCUAGGACUGCUUUUUAGCAGGUUCAGCUGAUUCUCUGCUCUGUUUUCUAACGUGCAAUGUCCAUUUUCACAGCUUCCCAGCCCUUCAUUUUUGGAUACCUCUUUGCAGCUAAAUUCACACAGAGAAUCCUCAUUUUGACUUGGGUUCCUAUUUGGUGCCAGCUCAGGAAAUUCAGUGAACAGCCAGUGCCUGUCCUUGAAGAAGCCAUUUUCAUGGAUUUUAUAAAAGUCAUCCCAGUAUCUCUUAGCAUUCACCUCAUAUUCUUCUUGUUUAUCUUGUGGCAAUAGCUGUGAGCUGUUCUCUUGAACUUUACUCUUGGCAGUGGCUUCCUGCUCUUCUGACCAUUCCACAUUAUCCCAGGCGUUAUGCUGGAAGAGGCGGGUGGGGUCGGUGAGGAAGCGCCUCCCGAACGGCCGCCGCCGCUCCGGCGCCUCGCUGGGCGCCGCCAUGACUGGCUGG
This 508-nucleotide long non-coding RNA is filed under the name Gallus gallus (chicken). Lineage: Eukaryota; Metazoa; Chordata; Aves; Galliformes; Phasianidae. The record is from RNAcentral.